Molecule: ribosomal RNA, 547 nt
Filed under: uncultured bacterium
Lineage: Bacteria
Description: partial 16S ribosomal RNA
Rfam family: Bacterial small subunit ribosomal RNA
Source: RNAcentral
UGGGGAAUUUUGGACAAUGGGCGAAAGCCUGAUCCAGCAAUGCCGCGUGUGUGAAGAAGGCCUUCGGGUUGUAAAGCACUUUUGUCCGGAAAGAAAUCCUUGGCUCUAAUACAGUCGGGGGAUGACGGUACCGGAAGAAUAAGCACCGGCUAACUACGUGCCAGCAGCCGCGGUAAUACGUAGGGUGCAAGCGUUAAUCGGAAUUACUGGGCGUAAAGCGUGCGCAGGCGGUUUGCUAAGACCGAUGUGAAAUCCCGGGCUCAACCUGGGAACUGCAUUGGUGACUGGCAGGCUAGAGUAUGGCAGAGGGGGGUAGAAUUCCACGUGUAGCAGUGAAAUGCGUAGGGAUGUGGAGGAAUACCGAUGGCGAAGGCAGCCCCCGUGGGCCAAUACUGACGCUCAUGCACGAAAGCGUGGGGAGCAAACAGGAUUAGAUACCCUGGUAGUCCACGCCCUAAACGAUGUCAACUAGUUGUUGGGGAUUCAUUUCCUUAGUAACGUAGCUAACGCGUGAAGUUGACCGCCUGGGGAGUACGGUCGCAAGAUU